RNAcentral lists this long non-coding RNA (5779 nucleotides) under Sus scrofa (pig). RNAcentral describes it as "lncRNA (ENSSSCG00060008562.1)". Lineage: Eukaryota; Metazoa; Chordata; Mammalia; Artiodactyla; Suidae. The record is from RNAcentral.
AGGACUUUUGUUCAGAAAGCAUAGGAUGUUUAAAAAGAAACCUCAGCAAGAUGGAGAGAAGAUCAAGGACUGCCUGUUCGCAGCGUGGAUUUUAACCGAGGCACCGACAACAUCACCGUGAGGCAGGGGGACACGGCCAUCCUCAGGUAGGGCUUUCAGUCAACUUUUCUGCUGUGCACAAGUGUGUGUGUGUGUGUGUGUGUGUGUGUAAGUGUGAUCUUGAGCUCCAGCUCCUGAUGCUGCAGGCUUGUGGUGUGUCUUGUGUGUGUUUAUGCCUUUUAUGGACUGGCCCUUAUAUCUGCCAACAAAUUUCAAGGGGAUUCUGGUCCCUGUCAAGGAUCAGUGGGGUUUGUUAAAUUUUGGUUGUUAGGAUCUUGUUUCUCCUACUGAAAGAGCGUAACUUCAUCUAUGGUAUUGGUGACAUUUGGGCAGUAUUCUUGCUUUUGUGAUUGCAGAUGCUUUGCGCUUAAGAGUUUUGUUGGGAUUCCUUAAUUGAGAAAGGAGAGUUUUUGAAUAAUGGCUCUCAGAGAGUGAUACACAGUAUUGCAUCUGUGUGUGUGUGUGUGUGUGUGUGUGUGUGUGUGUGUAUGUGUGUGCUCGCGCGCGCGAAUAUGUAUAUAAAAGCUCUUGCUUUGCCAAAGCAGUAGUUUGGAUAGGAGACUUUCUGUGAGGAUCUUAUAAUUGACAUCUAGGGUAAUAAAUCAAUCUUAGAACUUUGGUUGGUUACUGAGCCUUUUCUGGAAUGUGGAUAGAAAUCAACAUAAGAAUGAAAACAAGGGAAAAAAGGAACUUGCCAGAUUGCUGGUAUUUAAGAAUUGGAGUGUUAAGCACAGAGGUUAGGAAAGAAUUAACCUGCAUAAAAUGAUAUUUGAAAUUGAUUAUUGACCUCAAAGUCUUAUCUCCAUGCAAACUCUGAAAUAUAAUUUGGGAUUGAAAUUUGGAAAGGAAGAGUCCUAAGUCCUUGGGAGUUUGACCCCUAUAAGGGAGAGUGAGCUAGAGAAACUCGGUUGGAACCUCGCCAUAAUUCUCUUUCUAAAAAGCUCCAUGCUUGUUUUCCUUAUUUUCCCUUCUCUCUUUUCCUUCUCCAUACACUGCAUAUACUUGUCCUUUUUUAUAGCUUUACUUGAAUUUCCAUCAGAUACUAAAAAUAAAUAAAUAAAUAAAUAAAUAAGAAUGAAAGAAAAUGUUCUCCUUGGAGAUCCUUUAACAUCUCAUUUCAUCCAAAUAAAAUGACCCAGUGUCAGUCUGUCUAUCUAGCUAAUAUUACUUGUUGUGGCAAUAAAAAGCCAUAUCUGAUAGAAAAGAAACCUCUAAUCGGCAUGUGAGGAGCUGAUAGUGCAUAAACCCUGGGGCAUCAGGGAGCUGUUCUGUAGCAGAGCUGCCUACAGCAGCAAAGUUUUCUUUCCUUUUCUCAGAAAUAAAUUUGGUUGGCUGUCACAGUGUCCUGCUUUGGGAUCUCUCGCCUUGUUAGAGAGGAAUGUGUGUGUUGUGCAUGUUGUGUUGUUUGUGUGUGUGUGUUGCUGUGGAUUGUAAAAACUAAGAAAAGCCUAAGUGUAAGUACUCCUUUCUUCACUUCCUGAGCUUUGAGUGAUUAUGAAUCCCAAAGAUCCUCCCAUCCAAAGCAUAUUUUCCUUUCUAGCUCGUCCUGUAAAGCCUGCAUGUGUGAUUUAUCCACAUGGAGUAAUAAGAUUUAUAGAGUAAUUUAUCUGUUUGCAAAGGGAUUUGGACAUGAUGCAGAAAAUGUUUUUGCAAACUCGUAAGCAUGCCGUCUCAACUGCUAGCAUUCAUAUUCCCCAACAUCAUUAACCCUUUACAAGUGAAGCGCUCUAUAAAUUUACACUAUCCCUAGAAAGAUUUAAUUUCACUGAUUAUAUGAGUGAAUAUGGGGAAAGUGAAGGCCCUAGAUGUGUGAGUUUUUAUUUCAGUGUGCAUGAACUUUGUAAGGUCUUCCUAAGUCAGUAUCACCUAUAUCUUAAGCUGUAUUUAUCAGUUAGAUAAGCAUCUAAAUGUUAAUUUAGAAGGAAAAAAUAAGUCUUAUAUUGUCAUACACUAUAUGCAUAGAAGUCUAUGUCUUUGAGAAGCAGUCUUGUACAUAUAUAUCUAUAUAUGUAAACAUAUGAUAUAUAUGUACUGUGUAUCUGUGGCUCCCAGGAAAUGGAAUUUUUUAAGCAUUUCACUUUAGUAGACAUUGCAGCAUGGAAAUGGUGGAAAUGGGGGGGGCUAGUGGGAAUAGAGAAUAAAUAUAGAAGCACUGAUUCCCUGAGAAAGAGAAGCUAGACCAACAGGGUAUGCAGAGAAGUCACCUGUGAGAGUAAAUCACUUUCCCAGACCUCACCUAAAGUGCCCUCUUUUUAUUUCCUUUGCCUUGGACAAGGCUUUAUUUCUGGGUUGAUGGAGCUCUAUCAGAAGUAACUAUGGAGAGAGUUCCCUUUGUUUUCUUAGCUGACCUUCUUCUCCAUCUCUUUAACUGAGUCCAGUAAGCUUUGUGGGUCAGUUUCCUGGUGAAGAAUGGCACUCUUGCUUUCUGUUUACAAGUCUAGCCUGAGAAAGGCUUGCUUCCACUUUAUUUGUGGCAUUUUACUAGGAGCAUGGGCUUCCAGGGGAGGAGAGGGAGGAGAACUUGAUUCAUUGGAAGCAACAGUAGAUGUUUGGCUCUGAGAAAGUGAAAUGGCAAGGGGAAAAAAAAAUUCUCUCUCAGCGAGUCUGUGGCCCUGAAUGAUCUGAAAUGGCAACAGGAGACAAGGGAGGUUUGUAAUUUUGAUGGUCUAGUAACAGGAGUUUGGCUGGCUGUCCACAAAACAUUUACCUACACUGCCUUGCUUCCAUGAAACAAAUGUUUUUUGGGUGCAACUGAUGCUUACUUUUGUAUAAUUAUAAUCUUUGAUAUAAAUGUGCAUCUUGAUAGGAAAGUACAUACUAGUCUUGGGAUCUUGCUCUGUAAUUUCUAUCUUUUGGAAAAAAGAAAAGAAAAACUAUAGAAUAAAGGUGACAAAACAGAGUGGAAAGAGAAUCUUAUGUAUGCUAACCUAACCCUGUUGUUUCCCAGAAGGGAUUCUAAAUCCUUAUGAGCUCCUUUAUGAGAUUCUUUAAGAGUUUAAGGAAACCACAACACCAUCUUUCGUCUCAAAGGCAAAGGACCAGUGUGAUUCACAGACCAGUGGUAGCAGCAGCAGCACCUAGGGUGCCUUCCUAAAUCUACCGAACCAGAAACUGCCCCAGAAUUUGCAUUUGUAUGAGACAUAUUUAUCCAUAGGACUUUACUUUGGGGAAGUCUCAGUUGCUUUUCUCAACAGAGCCCACCUGUGUAACACCCCCAAAAAGUGCAGGAGUUCAUCAGUUACUAGAUAAGUUUCUCAUACUGGUCCUUUCAACCUUCUAUCCUUGAACACAUUAGGGAUUCACUUCUUGGUUCAUCUUGGCAGAUUGAAACUAUGUAGCUAUUUUUUUAAAUUAAGAGAAAAGUAGAAAUAGUGUUCCAAUCCAAUCUCAUUUUUAACAGUCCUACUGACUAUAUUUUCAGUAUCAGUCACAUGUAUCUGGAAAAUUAAUUAUAAAAUAAUUGAUCCCAAUGUAUCUGUUUGUAAAGUAACUUUGUAAAAAUUACGUAUGCUUGCAUAUCUGGACAUAUUGCAUAAGUUCAUAUAUGAUAAAAUGCAGAGGCUCCACACUAGUAUUGUAACUUUAAGUAUUUUAAAUCUGAGGUACUGAAAUUGUAUUUAUUUCAUAAUUCUGAUACUAGUUGAUGUUUUCAGGAUAUUGUAAUAUCUUUCAUGGUGAUAACAUUUUUGUACCAUGAGUGUUAGGUAUAGGAAACUAAGUAUCUAAGUUUAAAAGACUUAAAUUUUUAUUUUUCAAAAUUCUUGGUCUUUAUUUCCUUGUUUGUUUCAACACUAAUAGAAACGGAAGAAACAUUUAAAAGACAUGAUUAUUUGACAGUAAAAUAUAAAGAUUUUCUGCAAAUUUCAAGGGAAAAAUGGCUUCUCUCCUAUAAAGCAUCUGGCACGCCUACAUUCACAAAGAAACUGUCAACAAUCAAAUGUACUCCUGACACAAUAUGUGAUUUUUCUACUGCUUAUAAUUCACUAUUUGAAAACAAACUUUUUGGGCAUGGGUCUACAGGAAGAGUUUGAGACAAUUAUGAAGUUUUCUUUUUCUGUACUUAAUUCACUAAAGGUAAUCAAAAUUUAUAGGUUACUAUUGAUACUUUAAGGUCUCUGGUAGGGCUGAAGUUUGAAUUUGUAACAAGUUCUCAGGUGAUACAGAUGCCUUAGGACUGGGCCAAACUUUGAGAAUUAUCAUUAAAUCCUUUAUCAAAUGUAUUUGGUAAAUAGUGGAGUAAAGUGUAUUAUGUAUUGUCUAUGAAUAUGGCAUAUUAUAUACAUUUUUAAAGGAUGCUUAUGCCCUUAUAUUGCUUGUUGUGGUUUAUGUCCUGAGGAACACAGCAGACAAAUCGCAUGUGACAAAUACAAAUUGUUAUGAUUUGUGUUUCUGUAAAUAUGAAACACAUAACAUAUAGCACACAUAAGGUGAUUGUUCUACAUAAUUUGACUUUGAAUAAAUUAUUUGUGGAAUUGUGGCAUGAACAACCAAAGAUGACCAAACUUGUCCACUAAAUCAGUUGGUGGGGAUAAAACAUUUGUGUUUUUUGAAGCUGGUUCCACAUAAUAGCAAACUCAGGCAAAAGAAGGAUUGGUGCAUUUUGCUGUGGUCUCUGAGAGCUCCAAGUACAGAUAUUUGUGACUCAUCUGAUGGGAGGUUGCCUUAAUGUGUACUGGUCCCCCUCGCUGUCAUCACCUGAGCCCCAGAGAGCCUACCUUUCAGGCCAUUACUUAUUUCCCCUGUUUUGUGAAUAACCUGCCUGUUAAUUUGUACAACUUAGAAAAGCUGGGCUCUAAUUUUGGAUCUGUCCUUGCAUGCUACAUGACUUUGAGAAAAUCUCUUAAAUAUUUUGAACUUCAGUUUUAUUUCUAAAAUGAUGAAAUGUAGUUACUCUGUGGGGUUGUUUUAAGGAGCCCGCAAGAGGUAAAGUAGUUUAAUUUGGUGAAUUGUAAAGUGCUACAGAAAGUAUAAAGUGUUAGAGGUUUUCCUACCACAUGUAGCGUGUUGUUUAGACUCUAGAGAGCUCUUUUUGCUUCCUUUUUUUUUUUUUUAAUUUUUUCAGAUUGGUAUUUUCCAAACUUGAAGGUGUAUCCAAAAUACCUGAAGUGCUCAUUAAAACACAGAUUACUUGGCCCUGGACUUCAGAGUUUCUGAUUCACUGAAACUCUGGUAGGUCUCUGGUGGGGCUGAAGUUUGAAUUUGUAACAAGUUCUCAGGUGAUGCAGAUGCCUUAGGACUGGGCCACACUUUGAGAAUUAUCAAGUCUUGCUGCUAGAAACGUGUUUUGCAGAUGAUCAUCUUUGGUAUCAUAUAGUCACUUGCUAAAACCCAAAAUCCCAGGGUUUGUUCCAGACCUACUGAAUCAGAAUCUGCAUUUUAAUAAGAUCCCAAGUGAUUCAUAAAUAAGCAUAUUAAAGUUGGAGAAAUGCUACUUUAGAGAGUUCACAAGCAUGGCUGCACAUUACACUCUACUGGGGACCUUUUAAAAAAUGAUGAAACCACAUAUCCCUGCUUUCAGAAAUUCUGAUUGAUUUAGUUUGGGGUGAGGCUUGGACAUUGGUACUUAAAAAAUGAUUUUGAUAUGUACCCAAGAGUUGAGAACUGCUGCUUUACUGGUGUAAAAAAUCUCUCUUACAGCCAUGUUCGGGGCAGCACUUAUUACAUAUGUACCAAAAAAAAA